AGUAAGGGCGACUGAAACGGGAACAGCCCAGCGCAUAACCUCGCGGUCCCUAGUCGGCCGUCGAGGGGUGUUGCGUUUCGGUGGAUCCAUCCCGCUCGUGCUGCUCACCGCCUAAGUCAUUGCUUGAAAGCAGCCCCAAGGAGGGUGAUAGGCCCGUGUGGCGGCGCCUGUAAAAGGGUUCUAGGCGGCGCGGGCGGAGGGAUCUUCACCGUAGAGUCGGGUUGCUUAGUACUGCAGCCCUAAGCAGGUGGUAAACUCCAUCUAAGGCUAAAUACGACCACGAGUCCGAUAGAGGACAAGUACCGUGAGGGAAAGCUGAAAAGGACUUUGAAGAGAGAGUUCAAAAGGACGUGAAACCAUUAGAAGCAUAAACGGGUGGAACCGCGACGGUCGAACGAGGGGAUUCAGCUCGCGGGCUGUCGGCCCGGAGUGCGGCACAUUGAGAACGGACCCGGCGCGAACUGGCUCGCCGUGGCACCGCACUCCGGCUCGCCGGUCUGUCCCGCGGGCUUAAUUCUCCCUCCAGUAGCUUCGCCGCGACCCGUCGCUGUUGGGCCCCGAGGGCUGGCGCGGAUUGGUAGCCGGGACUUCGGUCCCGGCGAUGACCGCGUCGGUUCCGUCUGGUGCCCCGGCGGCGGUCACUGCCAGGAGGCCGCGUGAGCGGCCUCUCGCGGCGUACCCCAGGAUCGGUAAUCCACCCGACCCGUCUUGAARCACGGACCAAGGAGUCCAACAUGUGCGCGAGUCUAAGGGUGAACUAAACCCGGAGGCGAAAUGAAAGUGAGCCGUCUGUUGGUCGGCAGGCCGAUCCCCGGCCGGCCGUCUCGCCGGGAGUGCCGAGGGCGCGUGAGCUAGUUUCCGCCCCUCGACGAGCCUCUCGGCGGGCGGCCGGCGGCGUUCCGUGUGACCGCGGAGCGCUCUGGUGCGGGGCGCAGGCCGAGGACUUGCCACUCGGCGGCGCGGGGGACGGGGCUUCGGCUCUCACCCCGCUGUCCGCCGGCAAGUACCUGAGAGCGCACACGUUGGGACCCGAAAGAUGGUGAACUAUGCCCGGCGAGGACGAAGCCAGAGGAAACUCUGGUGGAGGUCCGAAGCAGUUCUGACGUGCAAAUCGAUUGUCAGAGCUGGGUAUAGGGGCGAAAGACUAAUCGAACCAUCUAGUAGCUGGUUCCCUCCGAAGUUUCCCUCAGGAUAGCUGGCACUUACGGAUGAGUUUCAUCCGGUAAAGCGAAUGAUUAGAGGCCUUGGGGGUGCAAUGCCCUCAACCUAUUCUCAAACUUUAAAUGGGUGAGAUCGAGAGCUUGCUUGAGAUUUUGAAGCUCUACGGCAGAAUCAGAGUGCCUAGUGGGCCACUUUUGGUAAGCAGAACUGGCGCUGUGGGAUGAACCUAACGCACGAGUUAAGGGGCCUAAAUGGACGCUAAUAUAGACACUAAGAAAAGGUGUUGGUUGCUAUAGACAGCAGGGCGGUGGCCAUGGAAGUUGGAAUCCGCUAAGGAGUGUGUAACAACUCACCUGCCGAAGCAACUAGCCCUUAAAAUGGUAUGGCGCUGAAGCGUUCUCCCGAUACUCGGCCGCCGGGGCAACGGGCGUUCACUCGACCUAUCAAGCCCCGGCGAGUAGGAGGGUCGCAGCGGCGAGCGUAGAAGGGACCCGGCGCAGGCCGGCCUGGAGCCACCGCUGGCGCAGAUCUUGGUGGUAGUAGCAAAUAAUCAAGAGAGAGCCUCGUUGGCUGAUGUGGAGAAGGGUUCCGUGUCAACAUCAGUUGAACACGGGUGAGUCAGGCCUAAGCCCAAGGAUAAAGUUCCUGUGUCCCACGUGUUCCGCACGCAUACAGAGAGAGAGAGAAGAGCCACACGGCUCGCGCGGGCGCGUGCGCGCGCGGCGGGGUCCCCCGCGUGCUGUGG
Molecule: ribosomal RNA, 1906 nt
Filed under: Ogyrides nr. alphaerostris HDBG-2012
Lineage: Eukaryota; Metazoa; Arthropoda; Malacostraca; Decapoda; Ogyrididae
Also listed under: 1 other name
Description: eukaryotic LSU rRNA
Rfam family: Eukaryotic large subunit ribosomal RNA
Source: RNAcentral